Molecule: ribosomal RNA, 436 nt
Filed under: uncultured Clostridium sp.
Lineage: Bacteria; Bacillati; Bacillota; Clostridia; Eubacteriales; Clostridiaceae
Description: partial 16S ribosomal RNA
Rfam family: Bacterial small subunit ribosomal RNA
Source: RNAcentral
ACGGAAGGCAGCAGUGGGGAAUAUUGGGCAAUGGGGGAAACCCUGACCCAGCAACGCCGCGUGAAGGAAGAAGGCCUUCGGGUUGUAAACUUCUUUUACCAGGGACGAACAAAUGACGGUACCUGGAGAAAAAGCAACGGCUAACUACGUGCCAGCAGCCGCGGUAAUACGUAGGUUGCAAGCGUUGUCCGGAUUUACUGGGUGUAAAGGGCGUGUAGGCGGAGCUGCAAGUCAGAUGUGAAAUCCCGGGGCUCAACCCCGGAACUGCAUUUGAAACUGUAGCCCUUGAGUACCGGAGAGGCAAGCGGAAUUCCUAGUGUAGCGGUGAAAUGCGUAGAUAUUAGGAGGAACACCAGUGGCGAAGGCGGCUUGCUGGACGACAACUGACGCUGAGGCGCGAAAGCGUGGGGAGCAAACAGGAUUAGAUACCCUGGUA